UUUAUAAGAAACACAAACGCAACUUUUAUUCGCUCACUAACAAACGAGCAACCGCGGUCCCAAGAACUUCUGGUAUACAGAGAGCGCUUCCGUGAAUCCGACAAAUAUUUCCUUCAACAUGAGAACUCUACUGUUUAUCUGCGGAAUCCUUCUUUUUGCCAGUUUUACGAAAAGCUCAGUAGGGAACCCAAUGGCAGGUCAAGCGGUGGCAGGCGCUUGUAGCGUGGAAAACGAAGAAUGGCAGAUCGGCUGUGACCAUUGCUAUUGCCGAAACCAAUCAGUGUUUUGUGAAACAAACCCUGACUGCGAGGAAGAAAAAUAAUGAUAAAAAGUACGAAUUUAUCUGGUCACAAAUAUAUAUUUGAUCUAUCAAGGCCUCUGUGUGAUUCUAAUCUAUAAUGUACCCUGGUUAACUUGUAGUUUAGUUCCUUGGUGUUCACUUUCACUUAAUUUUCCGCGCAAAGUCUAGGAAUUAGCGAGCGAGUGUCCUUCGAUGACGUCACGGGUCCAAGUUUGACCAAGCUGAGAACGCCUUUGAAUUAAGUUGGGUUUACGUAGAGUUAUCUAAUAAAAGAUAGUAAUGUUUGUUCCGCGCGAUAAAGUUGAUCUGUAAUCGAAGUGCUCUAAAAACCUUGAUGUAAACAAAGUAAUCAUUAUUUACAUGGAUAUGAAAUAAAUUGAAUAGUUGAGGUAGGUUAAGUUUGAA
Molecule: long non-coding RNA, 706 nt
Organism: Stylophora pistillata
Lineage: Eukaryota; Metazoa; Cnidaria; Anthozoa; Scleractinia; Pocilloporidae
Source: RefSeq, a predicted model, not a curated record